Long non-coding RNA from Pogona vitticeps (central bearded dragon), 1554 nucleotides. The record is from Ensembl. NCBI's taxonomy places the organism in Eukaryota, Metazoa, Chordata, Lepidosauria, Squamata, Agamidae.
GCCAUUAAAAAACCUUCAUCCUGGGUCGCCGAUCCCCCAGAAAGGGCUUUAAGUGCCCUAACUGCAAGAAUUUCCAAAAUGCAUCGCACAAGUUUUGCAGUAACUGUGGGAAUAAGUUGGCUCCUUCUGCCAGCACAAAAAGUGCAAACGAAAGAGAUGCAAACCUGAGUUUGGAGAUGGAGUCUGGGAAAGAACUGAGGAUGGAAAGCUUUUCUUCUUUGGGAUCCUCGGCUGAGCAACAGCCACCCACUGAGGAAGCAGAGAAGGAGUCAGAAGAAUCUCUGCCAGAGGGUCAAGGCUCAUUGUCACAGAGAAAAAAGAAGAAGAAGAAAAGGAAGCAUGCAGACUUGGAACGUCAGGACUCUUCAACAACAUCCUUAAGUUCAGUCUCAUCCAGUGUUGAUUAUCCUUCAAGUCUAAAAGUGGCAGGCACAGAAAGCCCACCAAAACAAAGCCAAAAUUCAGAAGCUGAAUUGACCAAAGCAAACACCGAGUCCACUGGUGAGAGCAGGGAUCAGAUUAACAGCAGUCCCUUGAAAAUAAAUCAGAGUGCAGAAAGUGUUGCAGAAAAUCAUGAGGGCAGUAAUGAUAUCAAGCCUGAGUUGGAGCAUGAUAGUAAAAAAAGUACAGAAGAUCAGCAGGCUAGAGGUGCAUCUACAGGGGAGAAAGUGGAGGAGGAGAGCUCCCAAAAGGAUGAUACAGUUUGUGGAAAGACGGGUUCCAACAAGGACUGUGGAAACAGUGCUGUGGCAAAUGACCAGUCUCUGGGAAGUAUCUUGAAUACUCAGACUUUGGUUGGUGCCUUGGCAGAGGGAGUUGCAGAGAACAUAUCUCCAGAUUUUCACUUUGAUGUAGAACCUUCUGAAAAGAGAGAUGCAAAAUUGAGUGCACAAGGCAAGAAACAGGAAAUGAAAGGGACAAAAUCUGAAAUGAAAGACAGUCAGAAAACCAAAGUGGAGGAGGCAGCCAAGCAACAGAGCAGUGCUUCAGUUCCAAAGAACGCAAAGGUAGAGGAAGUAUCUAACGCAGAAAAAGCCAGUGAAAAAGUACAACAAGCAUCAACUCCAAUCCAAUGUUCUGAUCAGGGAAAGAUGUCUUCUGCUGAAAUUAAAAAGAAGCAAACAAAUCAGAGAGCUAAGAAGCAAGGCGUAAACAAAGAAGUUAAACAGAGGUACGGCAUAUUAACAGUCUGGAUUAGAUGGAAAUGAUCAAUAACAAUUGCUGAAUAUUUAUGUGUAGAUUGGGUUUCCUGUUUUCUCCUGGAAAGAAAGAAGACAAAAGUUUCACUAAAUCUGAAGCUAUGAAAAAUACCUCACAUAACUUUUGUUCUUCUUUGUGGUCUCUGUGAAUGCACACAAUUGAGUUUUAAUGCAUCUGCACAUAGACUCUUGGAAACUUCUAACACAUGUUGUUAGGAUCUCCCUCCUGUCACACGUACCCCACCCAUGGCAUGGAGUGCCUCAGUUCCUGUUUUGCCUCCUCUACAGCAGCACCUCGGUUACGGAGCUUCUAUUCAUUCUGUGAAAAUAAAGAUCUCUUCAGGACCUUCCUCCA